Bombus pascuorum is the source of this 1329-nucleotide long non-coding RNA. RefSeq lists it as uncharacterized. The transcript has 3 exons. The record is from RefSeq and is a predicted model, not a curated record. NCBI's taxonomy places the organism in Eukaryota, Metazoa, Arthropoda, Insecta, Hymenoptera, Apidae.
UUAUCCAGAUUUUAAGCAAAUAUUAGUCUUUAUUAAUAUAAAAAAAUCUUUAAUCACAUUAAUUUCUACUUUUUUUAUUUUGUUUUUAUUAAAUAAUUUAAAAAUAUUUCUAUGAAACAAUCAAUUCCAUUUGUAGAAUACUUUUUAAAAUCCUGUUUCAAGUUGGAAUAUACCAAGGCCGAAGGAGAGUCUGAUUUUAUUCAGAACCAAAACAAUGAUAUACUACUACAUAAUUUAGUGUAACGAAAGAAAGAAAAACAUAAAAUGGUAAUGAGUCGUUUAUUAACCUCGAUGAACUUUUUAUUUAGAUUAUCUACGAAAGAACAGACAUUCUAUGAAUUAUUGACAUAGAAAGCCAUUUCGCUGUAAUUGAUUCUGCGUUAUAAUUAUCGAAUAUCGGGGAAUGCGUUGAAUGUGAAACUAUGGUAGGUAGAAUGUGCUUAAGUUUCCAUCGGGAAUCGAUAUCUUCCGUUUCCAUGCUGGGAUCGUGGUGUGUCCAGAUUGAAUCUAAUGAUUCCAGAACAGGUUACGCAGCCACAUUCAAAGGAUCGAAACGAGGAAGACACGGCGUUGCAUUAACUUUUAUCAGUUAUUCCCGUAAAAUUAUCGCAGCCUGUAAUUUCUCAAAACGAGCUUCUACGAUUCUCCAGUCGUUUCAUUGUGAUAGAAAUACUUUGGUUAACCAUAUGACCGUUGACGAUGAAGAAAUCACGAUCUCCGGUGUGUAAAUUAAAUCGAAGAAUGUUCAGAUUGAUGCAGGAAGCGAAGAUUAUUAUAAUCAUCUUGUGCUUCACCGUAUUUUUACGUAUGUUAUUUAAUUUCGAGUUACCAUCAAAAUUUAUAAGGUUUUCCUAGAUCUACAAUACCUAAUGGUAUUAAUCAAUGUUCCAUUUAGAGUGCCUUUUGUACCAUCGAGUUGGUGGAAUUUAUACUAAGGAGACCUUAUUCUGCCACGAUCAAUAAGCAACAUAGCAUAAAUGAAGACAAAUAGUUGUCACGACCGGAGGUUGAAAGUAGAAAACGUAAUACAGAAGCUGGCGCUGCUGAUCGAGAUUCAAGGAUUGAUCCUUUAACGGUCAUGUAUCUAAAUUUUAAUGUUCGGAAUGAAUAAUGGAGAGAUACAAAUAUUUGACAUUCACAUCGAUCAAUAAGAAAAGCAACAACUCCGCACAGCUACCUAACGAACAUGGUGGAUCAGUGAUGCAGUCACCUACUGGGAUGAAGAAACAAUCGUCUCAUUUUCUUUUAAGUGCAGCCAUGAAACGUAUUAUUACACUAAUACAGUGAAACAUGAAUACAAGUUGUUAAUAAACAAACAAUCAUGACCUG